CCUUUCCACGAUCUAACUCUUCACGUCAUGCUGAUCCGCGAUUAUACGCUCUAAGAUAUCAAAGGACUUGAACCUACGGCAUCAGGUUCGUGAGACCCACGUUCUAACGAAAACCCGGUUGCCCACCUCUGUCGAAGGAAAAUGGCUGCUCGCACGAAAGCUUCCCUACACGACUUGUUUCUCUACGCCGAAGGUUGUCUUCUCGAUAAGGAAUACACUUCUAUAUAGGAUGUCCGACUUAUUGUUCCAGGCACGAGCUUUCAUCGACUUCCUACCAUCCCUGAGUGGGAUUCCCAGGCUUUCGCCUUCCUUUCAUUGAGGAAGGUUAAGAAAACCUACGGCAUCAGGUUCGUGAAACCCACGUUCUAACGAAAACCCGGUUGCCCACCUCUGUCGAAGGAAAAUGGAUGCUCGCACGAAAGCUUCCCUACACGACUUGUUUCUCUACGCUGAAGGUUGUCUUCUCGAUAAGGAAUACACUUCUAUAUAGGAUGUCCGACUUAUUGUUCCAGGCACGAGCUUUCAUCGACUUCCUACCAUCCCUGAGUGGGAUUCCCAGGCUUUCGCCUUCCUUUCAUUGAGGAAGGUUAAGAUUAUGUUUAUGGCCAUUAUAAUAUUAUAACAUCGUUUGCAAAGAGAAAGGGGCACGAUCUCGAACAAUGGUAUGGUGUUAUAAUUCUCAAUGAUACUAACUUCUGUAGGCCCCUUAUUUAGCUAAAAUAGGCUAGGUUUGGAACCCUUGUCGCAGCCCUCGAGAAGCUGGAAAAUACCUAUGUGGCACUCCUUGCUCGCGGGGCGGCAUACCUAAAAAAAGGUUUAGGAAUUCGGUUAGGGGUUAGCGGUGAUUCCUCAGAAGGAGUCCUAUAUUGUCAUAAAUUACAUUAUUCUUCAUAUUCAGGACUCGUUGUCCAAGAAAGCGAGGUCCUUUAUUAGAAUAGUAUGAAUCUCUUUUACGGUUGUAAGGGAAGAAAGAGCUGGGUUCUCGAGCCCGUAGUCCUUAACAAGCUCUUCCAUAAAGCUAUUUGUUCCUAUUUCCACCUUUGCCUUAGGAAACUCGGAGAUUCUUUCUUUUUCAAAGAGAUCCAGAUAUUUCGAAAUGUCAUUAAUGACAAAAGCCUCUUUCUCAUUAAUGACUGCCUCCCCUAACGAGCUCUAUCUACAAUGCAUAACUCAAGCCAGUAGCUCUAGUAAUCACCAAAUAGCGGAGGUACUCUUAACGAGAUCUAUCUACAAUGCAUAACUCAAGCCAGUAGCGUUAGUAAUCACCAAAUAGCGGAGGUACUCGGACAAGGAGUAUUGAAAUCCACUA
This 1309-nucleotide long non-coding RNA is filed under the name Nicotiana benthamiana. RNAcentral describes it as "long non-coding RNA (NBEN_LNC014913)". Lineage: Eukaryota; Viridiplantae; Streptophyta; Magnoliopsida; Solanales; Solanaceae. The record is from RNAcentral.